This 468-nucleotide ribosomal RNA is filed under the name uncultured bacterium. Its description in RNAcentral is "partial 16S ribosomal RNA". It matches the Rfam family "Bacterial small subunit ribosomal RNA", at positions 28 to 507 of the family's 1533-position model. The record is from RNAcentral.
GACGAACGCUGGCGGCGUGCUUAACACAUGCAAGUCGAACGGAAAGGCCCUGCUUUUGUGGGGUGCUCGAGUGGCGAACGGGUGAGUAACACGUGAGUAACCUGCCCUUGACUUUGGGAUAACUUCAGGAAACUGGGGCUAAUACCGGAUAGGAGCUCCUGCUGCAUGGUGGGGGUUGGAAAGUUUCGGCGGUUGGGGAUGGACUCGCGGCUUAUCAGCUUGUUGGUGGGGUAGUGGCUUACCAGGGCUUUGACGGGUAGCCGGCCUGAGAGGGUGACCGGCCACAUUGGGACUGAGAUACGGCCCAGACUCCUACGGGAGGCAGCAGUGGGGAAUAUUGCACAAUGGGCGGAAGCCUGAUGCAGCAACGCCGCGUGCGGGAUGACGGCCUUCGGGUUGUAAACCGCUUUCGCCUGUGACGAUGCGUGAGUGACGGUAAUGGGUAAAGAAGCACCGGCUAACUACGUG